GCCCCCUUCCUCUCGCGUCCCCGGGUUCUCGCCCCUUCUUUCCUGAUGCCUGCCUGAUUUUCUGGAAAGACCGACACCCCCAGUCGCCCCCACCGCGGCUCCCGGUUCCUUCCCCUGCAGAGCAGACGGGGGCUGGAGUAGGGGCCAACAUGGGUGACAUGGGUGGACCGGCAGGGCGGUCCCUGGGGUGCCCUUUAACUCUUUCUGUGCCACAUCCCCGGUCUCUGGCCAGUCCUGUCGCGCUAAGGCCCCUCCAGCAGCGCUGACCCUGGUCCCCCACCUGCUGGUCCUGCGGCCGCGGGGCGCUCUCUCCUCCGUCCCACCCGCUCCUUCCACACCACCUCCUUUCCUGGGAGUGGAGAAGCCCCAGCCAGAACCCCUGCCUUCCCCAAGAGGCACGCUCAGAGGGACAUUCUCCCCUUCCUCACUCCCCCUAGAGCCACAUCACACCUGGCUUUGGGGCCCUAGAACCUCAGCCCGCGCCCCUCCCCUUCCACCCCCAGCCAUCCCUGCUCUGUGCCCAGUGAUCUUGGGGUCACCACAACCCCAUGGCGCCUUGAGGCCUCACCUUUCCUGGCCUCUCAGCAUCCUGGGACACUGAUGGUCAUGCCUUCCUUCUAGAAAGUUCUCUCCGAGGCUGUGGCUUCCAGGAUGAGCACUCUCCUCCUCCCACUUCCUCCCCUUCUCCUUCCCCCUCCUCCCUUCUCCCUGGAGAGGUCUUCCUCCAAGUCCCAGUCUUCUUCCCCACCCAGAGCCCCUCCCGCUGACACUUGUCUGCAGUGCCUGUCUCCGCUCCCGCUAGGAAGCCUCCCCUCCGGCAUCUCCAAUCCAUCUCUGGGUCCUGCUCCACCUGCAUUUCCCUAGACCUGUCCUGGCCACCCUCACCCUGGGACACCUCCUGCCCGUGGAGAGCUCCUCUGAUAGGUGCCGUCCUUGGUCUUGGGGGUCCUUUCUCCCUAAUUCUACUUCUGUUUUGGGGGCGUGGGAACCCAGGGUCUUAACCCCAGCCAUUCCCCCUCCCAGGGGCCACUUCCCUCUGAAGCUUAGCCCAGCUCUGUGACCCCCACAGGCCUGCCCCCACCUGGUCCUCACUCCCCUGCAUAGCCACACUGUGGGGGCUCCAUGCUUCCCAGCCCAUAGGAAGCCCUGUUCCCAGAGGGGGCCAUUCUGUUUUAGUUGGAGCAGUGGCCAGAGGCAAAGGUCAGAAGGCAAAGGUCAUAAAAGUUUGUCUCUACCUGCCAGCAUCUGCUCCUGCUACUGCAUCUUCUCCCCUCUCCACCCAAACCCUCCCUCAGCUCCUGCCCCCACCUCUCCAGAGGCACAGACAACAGGGUUCUGAUCUUGGGUCAUGGUGCUCCCCCUGCCAGCCUCAGUCCGAGACCUCUGUGAAUGGCGGUGAUGGCUAAUGGGAUGAGGGGGACCACCUCCUGGUGGCUGCAGGGACUGGGGUGAGGGUGCUGUAGGCUCUGCCUAAGUCAAGUGCCAUGGGGCUGAAGAGACGGCGCACCGGCCCUGGAGAAGAGUCCUCCCUGCCCUCCUGUGUCUGGCCUUGUUUCCUGGAGGACAGGUCCCCACGGGGCAGAGGCCCAGCAGUCCCAGGUUCCUUAGCCUCUGCCACCUCCAGGCCGUGUCUGCUAACCCUGUCUGCCGUCAGCAAGCUUCGU
Molecule: long non-coding RNA, 1664 nt
Filed under: Homo sapiens (human)
Lineage: Eukaryota; Metazoa; Chordata; Mammalia; Primates; Hominidae
Description: non-protein coding lnc-MCRIP1-1:3
Source: RNAcentral